This is a small nucleolar RNA of Lathyrus oleraceus (garden pea), 109 nucleotides long. The record is from RefSeq and is a predicted model, not a curated record. Lineage: Eukaryota; Viridiplantae; Streptophyta; Magnoliopsida; Fabales; Fabaceae.
AGGCCAUGAUAUGGGCAAUGUCUCAUCAUGUCUUUGUACCUUUCCUAGCCUUCAAAGAGAGAUUCCCCACCAGCUUGUCUAAAAUAAGUGAUUUGGUUUCUUUGAGUUU